RNAcentral lists this ribosomal RNA (255 nucleotides) under uncultured bacterium. RNAcentral describes it as "partial 16S ribosomal RNA". It matches the Rfam family "Bacterial small subunit ribosomal RNA", at positions 524 to 776 of the family's 1533-position model. The record is from RNAcentral.
UACAGAGGUCCCGAGCGUUUGUUCGGAUUCAUUGGGCGUAAAGGGUGCGUAGGCGGCGGGGUAAGUUUGAUGUGAAAUCCCGGGGCUCAACCCUGGAAUUGCAUUGAAUACUACCUUGCUAGAGUACCGGAGAGGAAACUGGAAUUUACGGUGUAGCAGUGAAAUGCGUAGAGAUCGUAAGGAAGACCAGUGGCGAAGGCGAGUUUCUGGACGGUAACUGACGCUGAGACACGAAAAGCGUGGGUAGCAAACAGG